UGGCGCACGGGUGAGUAAUGUAUAGCUAACGUACCCUUGGGACCGGGAUAGCUAUCCGAAAGGAUAGGUAAUACCGGGUAACAUGACCGGAAGGCAUCUUCUGGUUCUCAUCAGCCGCAAGGCGCCUGGGGAUCGGGCUAUAUCGUAUCAGCUAGUUGGUAGGGUAACGGCCUACCAAGGCGACGACGCGUAGCCGGACUGAGAGGUCGGUCGGCCACAUCGGGACUGAGACACUGCCCGGACUCCUACGGGGGGCUGCAGUAACGAAUCUUCCCCAAUGCACGAAAGUGUGAGGGAGCGACGCUGCGUGGAGGAUGAAGUCCUUCGGGAUGUAAACUCCUGUCGGGGGAUACCAAGUUCUGAGGAUCCCCAAAGGAAGAGGCGGCUAACUCUGUGCCAGCAGCCGCGGUAAUACAGAGGCCUCAAGCGUUAGGCGGAAUCACUGGGCUUAAAGCGUGUGUAGGCGGAUCGUUAAGUGCCUUGUGAGAUACCACGGCUCAACCGUGGAACUGCUUGGCAUACUGGCGAUCUUGAGCCACCCAAGGGCAACUGGAACAAACGGUGGAGCGGUGAAAUGCAUAGAUAUCGUUUGGAACGCCAAGGGUGAAGACAGGUUGCUGGGGGUGCGCUGACGCUGAGACACGAAAGCCAGGGGAGCAAACGGGAUUAGAUACCCCGGUAGUCCUGGCCCUAAACGAUGUCCACUAGAUUAUGGGACUUUUGACGGUUUCAUGGU
This 736-nucleotide ribosomal RNA is filed under the name uncultured bacterium. Its description in RNAcentral is "bacterial SSU rRNA". It matches the Rfam family "Bacterial small subunit ribosomal RNA", at positions 96 to 846 of the family's 1533-position model. The record is from RNAcentral.